GGGGGUGAUCGGUUUCGACAUUGAUCGGCAGAUCAAGGGAAGCGGGUCGAGGAUGCACAGUUAUCUCGUUAACGAUCUGUGCAAACCAAUAGGUGCCGACAACAAGCGCACCGACUUCGCCCUCGCCGCCUGAGCGAGCUUCGAAGUCCGUCAGCCUGAGCUAGAUCUCGACUCAGUGCCUGGCGCCAUCUAGAGAACUGGCUGCGUCGCUCCUGUCGGGGGGUGGCGUGGGACUCAAUCCGACUGGGCCUGUCAGGGAACGUGUGCGCGCGAGCCCUGGGGCCGAGAAAAAUCCACAGCGCACUGCACCCGGAGAAGUCUUGGUUUCCCGUCAGUGGACGCGGGUUCGAUUCCCGCCACCUCCACCA
Molecule: transfer-messenger RNA, 368 nt
Filed under: Dermatophilaceae
Lineage: Bacteria; Bacillati; Actinomycetota; Actinomycetes; Micrococcales
Description: Knoellia sp001427985 Standard tmRNA
Rfam family: transfer-messenger RNA
About the family: Bacterial tmRNA, also known as 10Sa RNA or SsrA, is named for its dual tRNA and mRNA-like properties. Its role is to liberate the mRNA from a stalled ribosome.
Source: RNAcentral